AACGCACAUUGCGCCCCUUGGUAUUCCGAGGGGCAUGCCUGUUCGAGCGUCAUUACAACCCUCAAGCAUUGCUUGGUAUUGGGCUCCGCUGCUCACCCAGCGGGCCUUAAAAUCAGUGGCGGUGCCGUCGAGGCCCUGAGCGUAGUAAAUAUCCUCGCUAUAGGGACUCGGUGGACGCUGGCCAUCAACCCCCAACUUUCUAAGUUUGACCUCAGAUCAGGUAGGGAUACCCGCUGAACUUAA
Molecule: unclassified non-coding RNA, 243 nt
Filed under: uncultured fungus
Lineage: Eukaryota; Fungi
Description: sequence contains ITS2
Rfam family: 5.8S ribosomal RNA (bases 1-52)
Source: RNAcentral